Molecule: ribosomal RNA, 445 nt
Filed under: uncultured bacterium
Lineage: Bacteria
Description: bacterial SSU rRNA
Rfam family: Bacterial small subunit ribosomal RNA
Source: RNAcentral
CCUACGGGAGGCUGCAGUCAAGAACAUUUGGCAAUGGGCGAAAGCCUGACCAUGCGACGCCGCGUGCUGGACGAAGUCCCUCGGGACGUAAACAGCUUUUAUGCGUGAAGAAGUAAUUGACAUUAGCGCAUGAAUAAGGGGCUCCUAACUCUGUGCCAGCAGGAGCGGUAAUACAGAGGCCCCAAGCAUUAUCCGGAAUCACUGGGCGUAAAGGGUGUGUAGGCGGCGAUAUUAGUCUCUCGUGAAAGGUUUUGGGCUUAACCCAGAAACCGCGGGGGAAACGGUAUUGCUUCGAGGACGCGAGAGGUAGAGGGAACUCAUGGUGUAGGGGUGAAAUCCGUUGAUAUCAUGGGGAACACCAAAUGCGAAGGCACUCUACUGGCGCGCUCCUGACGCUGAAACACGAAAGCGUGGGAAUCGAACGGGAUUAGAUACCCCAGUAGUC